Molecule: ribosomal RNA, 505 nt
Filed under: uncultured bacterium
Lineage: Bacteria
Description: bacterial SSU rRNA
Rfam family: Bacterial small subunit ribosomal RNA
Source: RNAcentral
ACUAUGGCUCAGGAUGAACGCUAGCUACAGGCUUAACACAUGCAAGUCGAGGGGUAGCAGGGUAGCAAUACCGCUGACGACCGGCGCACGGGUGAGUAACACGUAUCCAACCUUCCCAUAACUCAGGGAUAGCCUUUCGAAAGAAAGAUUAAUACCUGAUAGUACUUUUUCAAGGCAUCUUGAGAAAGUUAAAGAUUUAUUGGUUAUGGAUGGGGAUGCGUUCCAUUAGAUAGUUGGUGAGGUAACGGCUCACCAAGUCUUCGAUGGAUAGGGGUUCUGAGAGGAAGGUCCCCCACAUUGGUACUGAGACACGGACCAAACUCCUACGGGAGGCAGCAGUGAGGAAUAUUGGUCAAUGGGCGAGAGCCUGAACCAGCCAAGUAGCGUGAAGGAUGAAGGUCCUAUGGAUUGUAAACUUCUUUUAUAGUAGAAUAAAGUGAUCCACGUGUGGAUUUUUGUAUGUAUACUAUGAAUAAGGAUCGGCUAACUCCGUGCCAGCCGCAGC